GGAUUAGUGGCGAACGGGUGAGUAACACGUGGGCAAUCUGCCCUGCACUCUGGGACAAGCCCUGGAAACGGGGUCUAAUACCGGAUAUGACUGUCCAUCGCAUGGUGGAUGGUGUAAAGCUCCGGCGGUGCAGGAUGAGCCCGCGGCCUAUCAGCUUGUUGGUGAGGUAGUGGCUCACCAAGGCGACGACGGGUAGCCGGCCUGAGAGGGCGACCGGCCACACUGGGACUGAGACACGGCCCAGACUCCUACGGGAGGCAGCAGUGGGGAAUAUUGCACAAUGGGCGAAAGCCUGAUGCAGCGACGCCGCGUGAGGGAUGACGGCCUUCGGGUUGUAAACCUCUUUCAGCAGGGAAGAAGCGAAAGUGACGGUACCUGCAGAAGAAGCGCCGGCUAACUACGUGCCAGCAGCCGCGGUAAUACGUAGGGCGCAAGCGUUG
RNAcentral lists this ribosomal RNA (440 nucleotides) under Streptomyces sp. RNAcentral's name for it is "bacterial SSU rRNA". It matches the Rfam family "Bacterial small subunit ribosomal RNA", at positions 89 to 543 of the family's 1533-position model. The record is from RNAcentral. Lineage: Bacteria; Bacillati; Actinomycetota; Actinomycetes; Kitasatosporales; Streptomycetaceae.